Acanthopagrus latus (yellowfin seabream) is the source of this 1380-nucleotide long non-coding RNA. RefSeq lists it as uncharacterized. The transcript is spliced from 3 exons. The record is from RefSeq and is a predicted model, not a curated record. Lineage: Eukaryota; Metazoa; Chordata; Actinopteri; Spariformes; Sparidae.
AGUAGAAUUGCCAUAAGCUGACACGAAGCGCAGUUCUAUUGUUGUACGGUCGGUUUUUCCAGAUAUAGAACAACGGAGCGCUGCGUAAAGACGCAUUUUUUUAGUUUCAUUUAAUGAAAAUGUGGCUGACUCCUUUUUGCAUUUUAAUGCCCCUCUGUGAAAAUACAUCUUCAAUCCCAAUCACUCAGAAUGACUGACACGGGAGGUCUCAACGUGGAUUCCACUCACAUUUUUACCAAUUUUUUCCCAGUAACCAGGAGGAGGGAUGUUGUCAAAUGUCACAUCCAGUGGAAGAAUAUGUCCACAAAGGUACUCAGGAAUGUACUGCUCGCGGUAUGUAAAUGCUAUUUUUGCACAGAGGCACAUUUACAUAAAUUCAGUACUUGGCAGUGACAGCAAGGCUCUGAAGUUUUUGUUUUGGUGCAUAAUCUGGAGGCUCGGAGCGCUUAACCUAAACUCAUAAUGCCUCGAAUAAUGAGGGAGGAAUUGGAGAGAUUUGGAGAUGGUGAAGGCUCACAAACAUGAUGAGGCCUCGUCGGGUAAAACACAGCUUGACUGAUAUCUCCACCAGACGCUGCGAGAGUGCCCUCUUGGAUGCCUCUAGGGUAGAUACACGAUAAAGUACCCUCUACUGUGCUCUAGUGCCCGUUUGUGCGCUGGUGUCCGGCUGCCUACAGCUGGUGCAUUUUCCCUUUUCUUCCAGCCCCCUCAGACAUCCUGAGUCCACCACCGUGAGAUCAGAUCACCUGACCAGUGCAAACUACUGUGAUCUCUUCACAUGUCAGUAACCAUACAGGUUGAACAUCUUCACCUGCUUUUUGCUGGUUCUGUAUGAAACAGCAUUUUGAUAUGCUGGUCUACAAAUACUGACUGCCAAAGUACAGAUCAACAAUAGUUUUCUGUGUUUUAAAAAUUGACACUUAAUCAAUUCUGGCCUUUUUCUUGUCUUCUACAUGUCGUUUUCUCCCUUUUCUGUCACCAUCUGCUGAUUGGUGCUGUAUUUUCUGUUUAUUUUAUUCUUUUUGUUCCUUUUCCUUAUAUUCUAAUAUACUAUAUGAAAUACACUUUCUUGAGAGGAGGGGAGGUCCAUUAUAAAGGCCUGUGGCUUUUUGACCAAUCAAGACAUGUGUUUUAUUUCUGUUGUUGUUAAAAGGUGCAAUAUGUAAGAAUUGGCCACCUCAUAUCAAUCCCAUUGAUAAGGACAUAGCUGAAUGAAUGCACUUUCCUGGUCAUAAACAUUCAUUCACAUCAUCAUAUCAUGGUUGUGACGUUUGGACUCUGUCAUGUCACGCCACACUGAAAAAACUGUUCUGCUUCAACUAAAUCCAAAGAAAAACUGUAAUAAUCUGAUGUGGCCCUGGUGGGCCCUCUGUAGGCAGU